This 406-nucleotide long non-coding RNA is filed under the name Elaeis guineensis (African oil palm). Its description in RNAcentral is "long non-coding RNA (EGUI_LNC069658)". The record is from RNAcentral. Lineage: Eukaryota; Viridiplantae; Streptophyta; Magnoliopsida; Arecales; Arecaceae.
CUCUAAUAGUCUAGCCCACAUCUUAGAAAUCAAUCAAUUGUUAGGUUUCAAAUAUAAAGAUUGGCUAAGGAACUCAAAAAGUAUUUUGAGUUUCGAGAAGCUAGGUUGUAUCUUAGACCAGAAAAUAUCUAUAGGGAUCUUGAAGAGUUCAAGAGACAUAUCUUUAGAAGGUAUGUCAGACCUACUCAUGAUUGAGACUAAUCUAACGGUUUCUUCUACUACCAGUUAGGUAAUAGACUUUGGUUCUAGUGAUAUUUAUGUAUUUCAAUGCAGGAUCUUAAGGAAUGUAGAAGGUUGAGGCUAAGAGAGAUGACCCUGCGAGUAGGCAACGGAACAAGAGUUGCUGCUAUCACCAUAAGGACCUAUCCUCUUUGAUUGUUGUCUGAUUUUUGUCUAAAACUAAGGG